AGAAUCUCACUCUGUCACCCAGGCUGGAGUGCAGUGGCAUGAUAAUAGCUCACUGCAGCCUCAACCUCCUGGCCUCAAGCAAUACUUCCACCUCAGCCUUCAAAAUAGCUGGAAAUACAGGUGAAUGGAUAAAAAUAUGUUUAUAUAGAGAGUGGAAUAUUAUUCAGUCAUGGAAAAGAAGGAAAUGCUGACAUUUGCAACAACAUGGAAGAACGGAAGGACGUCAUGCUAAGUGAAGGAAGUGAGACCCAGAAAGACAAAUACCACAUGAUUUCACGCAUAUGCAAAAUCUACAAAAGUUGAACUCAUAAAAGCAGAGAGUAGAGCGGUGGCUGGUUAGGAAAAUGGGGAGAUGCUGAUGGAAGGGUCCAAACUUUCAGUUAUAAGAGGCCACUUAAGCAAGAUUCCUGCUCAUGGAACACUAUAUGCU
This 430-nucleotide long non-coding RNA is filed under the name Homo sapiens (human). RNAcentral's name for it is "HSALNT0357134". Lineage: Eukaryota; Metazoa; Chordata; Mammalia; Primates; Hominidae. The record is from RNAcentral.